AUGAACGCUGGCGGCGUGCCUAAUACCUGCAAGUCGAGCGAACAGACGAGGAGCUUGCUCCUCUGACGUUAGCGGCGGACGGGUGAGUAACACGUGGAUAACCUACCUAUAAGACUGGGAUAACUUCGGGAAACCGGAGCUAAUACCGGAUAAUAUAUUGAACCGCAUGGUUCCAUAGUGAAAGACGGUUUUGCUGUCACUUAUAGAUGGAUCCGCGCCGCAUUAGCUAGUUGGUAAGGUAACGGCUUACCAAGGCAACGAUGCGUAGCCGACCUGAGAGGGUGAUCGGCCACACUGGAACUGAGACACGGUCCAGACUCCUACGGGAGGCAGCAGUAGGGAAUCUUCCGCAAUGGGCGAAAGCCUGACGGAGCAACGCCGCGUGAGUGAUGAAGGUCUUCGGAUCGUAAAACUCUGUUAUUAGGGAAGAACAAAUGUGUAAGUAACUAUGCACGUCUUGACGGUACCUAAUCAGAAAGCCACGGCUAACUACGUG
This 496-nucleotide ribosomal RNA is filed under the name uncultured bacterium. RNAcentral's name for it is "partial 16S ribosomal RNA". It matches the Rfam family "Bacterial small subunit ribosomal RNA", at positions 29 to 507 of the family's 1533-position model. The record is from RNAcentral.